Molecule: long non-coding RNA, 741 nt
Filed under: Homo sapiens (human)
Lineage: Eukaryota; Metazoa; Chordata; Mammalia; Primates; Hominidae
Description: HSALNT0389797
Source: RNAcentral
GAGCCCAAGCUCCCACUUCUCAAUUCCAUGACCGUCUAAUCUAAAGCCUGCACUGCUUGACAUUCACUUUCAGUUUUGCAUAUUGAUUUGUAACACCAAACGGGGAAAGGCUCCAUUUUCUGGGGACCAGCUUUGUUGGUAACAAAGAUACUGAAUCAUAGAGAGGAAUCAUUUUUGCAAGAUCACAGCUGAUGGAAUUUCCCUCUCCUUGCCCAGGCUGGAGUGCAGUGGCGUGAUCUCGGCUCACCACAACCCCCGCCUCCUGAGUUCAAGUGGUUCUCCUUCCUCAGCCUCCCGAGUAGCUGGGACUACAGGCGCGUGCCACCACGCCUGGCUAAUUUUUUGUAUUUUUGGUAGAGACGGGGUUUCACCAGGUUGGCCAGUCUGGUCUCAAACUCCUGACCUGAGGUGAUCUAUCUGCCUCGGCCUCCCAAAGUGCUGGGAUUAUAGGUGUGAGUCCCCGUGCCCAGCCUUGACCUCCCUAUUUUGAAUUGUACCCCUCCCCGCAGUCUUCCUCCUCUCCCUUUUUCUGCAUUACUGCUCAUUUCCCUCCAGGACAUCAUCUCCUACACCCUGUAAUUUACUUAUUUAUUUUGGCUGUUAGUUAAUAUCUGUCUCCCUCACUGCAAUCUAACACCGUAUUCACUGAAGUCCCCCAACGGAGUGAAGAACGUGCCAUCCCCAAAUAUGCCAAAUUGGCAUAGUGAUUAUUUUGAGCUGUAAAUAUUGGAGAAAUUGUAG